Molecule: long non-coding RNA, 1748 nt
Organism: Callithrix jacchus (white-tufted-ear marmoset)
Lineage: Eukaryota; Metazoa; Chordata; Mammalia; Primates; Cebidae
Source: Ensembl
GGGUAAUUCAACUUGAAGGCUUCUGUCCAUGUUUCUGAACCUAUUCACAAUCACAAUUUUCAACAGUAGAAGAACCCAUUUUAUUAUGUGUUUUUUUGAUUGCAGAUCUGGGAAAGUCCCAGGGCAAGAGGCUGGUAGAACCUCAAUAAGAGCUUCAUCAUGUAGAGAUAUUCAGAAAAGGCUUCAGAAUUUUGCAGUUAAAAGAAAUUGUGUGACAUGGAAUUUACGCUGAAAUUGUCUACUUUGAAAAGCUGUCAGUCCUGGGUGACGGAUUGCAAUGAAAAUUGGUCAGUGCAAAAUGGCACAAGUGACUGAAGAACUUGGUGGAUGCGGCACAGAGGGGAGAGCAUGAGAUCACAAACUGGAGAAAGCCAAGUGAGUUAACAUUGCAAGAUGAGAAAAGCAAGUAUCAUAAACUCAGAGGAUGAAGCUGAAAUCAGAGUCAAGAGAUAGUGAUAUCAGAGCCAUAGGCUCAUGCAAAGACUACUGAAGAGUUGUAGCAGACGUUUGCAGGGGCUGGUACAAUUCAGACGAAAAGAUCAAGGAAUGGGAUCUAACAGAGCAAGAAUAUGGAGACGUGAGAGUCUGAGAGUCUAACAACAGGUGGUGGGUCUAUAACUGUGUCUUAGAGGAAUAUAAUUCCUCAUCUCUGGAAAAAGGAAGGAUGAUGUCUCAGAAUUGGGUAGUACUUCCUAGACUAGAGAAAGGCACAACACUGAGGUGUUUUGGGUAAAUCGUUUCAAUAAGGGGAAGAUUAAGUCCCCCUGGGAUGUUGACUUCUUGACUGGCAUAUUCUGAGUAAUAUUGAUAUAAUACUGGUAGUUGGUAAGGCUUACUUGGGAAUUAUGACAUAAAAUAAGUACUAAAUGACUUGUUUAGGUACCAGAUACCAGCUAAAUUGCCCAUGAUCCGGAGUCUCAGAUAUUAAUAUUUACCCAUCUUCUAAUAGCAUUAUUUGGUCUUGCUUUUCGACAAUCUUAAAAUGCAUCUCUGCUGUAAAUAAAGAGAAAACCACGAAUGACUAUAGAUCUUCCAGUUUGAGGCUAGUAUUCUUAUGAAAAGAAGCAAUUCAUUUUCCCAAUACAACCCAUUCCUGCUCAGCACUCAUAGCCCUUGCUGUGUCAGAAAACUCCAAUUUCUAUGGCAAGAUGAGAGUUGCCAACCACUUGCUAAGGUCAGUAACGUGAUUCAUGGAAGCAAACCCGGAAAUUCUUGGAAAGGCUAGGUGCUGAUUUAUGCAGUUGGUCUGAUGACAGACACAGCAGAUAGCUCAGAAAGACAUUGGAACACUACAUGUGGAUUUUUCCACAAACAGGAAUCAUUCUUGAAAAGUUUAUUCAGUGUAUUGGACAUGGUAGUCUUCUUCCCUAUCAUGAAUGAAUGCCUCCAUUGACCUGUGUCAAAAGACUAAAUCCCACAUUAGUUUCAGAAAUCUCAAACAGCAGAGCUUUAAAACAGAUACAAGUGUUUUCUUCUUUUGAGAAAUAUUUGAAACUCUGGCAAGGGUCUUGAACUACAAUUUGUAUAAAUUGGGAUGCAUUCACGGAAAAAGAGGCUAUUGUGCAAACUCCUGGGAUGCAGGGAUACUGACAUAAAAAUGAGUAAAUUUAGAGUUUUCUUCUCCUGCUGAUUGAAUUUACCUGAUGAGCUGAGAUGAAUCAUGUAUUGUCUUUGUAUCUCAACUUUUUCCUUUGAAAAUGUAAUAAGGUUGACAUACAGUAUAAAUUAAGAGUUUGUUUCUAGUCCAU